GACGAACGCUGGCGGCGUGCUUAACACAUGCAAGUCGAACGGAAAGGCCCUGCUUUUGUGGGGUGCUCGAGUGGCGAACGGGUGAGUAACACGUGAGUAACCUGCCCUUGACUUUGGGAUAACUUCAGGAAACUGGGGCUAAUACCGGAUAGGAGCUCCUGCUGCAUGGUGGGGGUUGGAAAGUUUCGGCGGUUGGGGAUGGACUCGCGGCUUAUCAGCUUGUUGGUGGGGUAGUGGCUUACCAAGGCUUUGACGGGUAGCCGGCCUGAGAGGGUGACCGGCCACAUUGGGACUGAGAUACGGCCAAGACUCCUACGGGAGGCAGCAGUGGGGAAUAUUGCACAAUGGGCGGAAGCAUGAUGCAGCAACGCCGCGUGCGGGAUGACGGCCUUCGGGUUGUAAACAGCUUUCGCCUGUGACGAAGCGUGAGUGACGGUAAUGGGGAAAGAAGCACCGGCUAACUACGU
This 467-nucleotide ribosomal RNA is filed under the name uncultured bacterium. Its description in RNAcentral is "partial 16S ribosomal RNA". It matches the Rfam family "Bacterial small subunit ribosomal RNA", at positions 28 to 506 of the family's 1533-position model. The record is from RNAcentral.